GACGAACGCUGGCGGCGUGGAUUAGGCAUGCAAGUCGAACGGUAUCAUCCUUUCGGGGGUGAGAGAGUGGCGAACUGGUGAGUAACACGUAGGUUAUCUACCCUCAAGACGGGGACAACCCAGGGAAACUUGGGCUAAUACCGGAUGUGAGCAACUUUUAGUUGUUUGAAAGGUGGCGUAAGCUGUCGCUUGGGGAUGAGCCUGCGUCCUAUUAGUUAGUUGGUGAGGUAACGGCUCACCUAGGCAAUGAUAGGUAGGCGGCCUUAACGGGUGGUCGCCCACACUGGGAUUGAGAUACGGCCCAGACUCCUACGGGAGGCAGCAGUCGAGAAUAGUCUACAAUGGUCGGAAGACUGAUAGUGCGACGCCGCGUGAACGAUGAAUCCCUUCGGGGUGUAAAGUUCUUUUAUAUGUGAGCAGUGCUUCUUAUAUUAACAGUAUGGGGAAGAGAUAUUAGCAUAUGAAUAAGCAACGGCUAACUCCGUGCCAGCAGCCGCGGUAAAU
This 504-nucleotide ribosomal RNA is filed under the name uncultured bacterium. RNAcentral's name for it is "bacterial SSU rRNA". It matches the Rfam family "Bacterial small subunit ribosomal RNA", at positions 28 to 525 of the family's 1533-position model. The record is from RNAcentral.